This 492-nucleotide ribosomal RNA is filed under the name uncultured bacterium. RNAcentral's name for it is "partial 16S ribosomal RNA". It matches the Rfam family "Bacterial small subunit ribosomal RNA", at positions 29 to 507 of the family's 1533-position model. The record is from RNAcentral.
AUUGAACGCUGGCGGCAUGCUUUACACAUGCAAGUCGAACGGUAACAGGCCUUCGGGUGCUGACGAGUGGCGAACGGGUGAGUAAUGCAUCGGAACGUACCCAGAGGUGGGGGAUAACGCAGCGCAAGCUGUGCUAAUACCGCAUGUGAUCUGAGGAUGAAAGCGGGGGACCGAGCAGCAAUGUUUGGCCUCGCGCCUUUGGAGCGGCCGAUGUCGGAUUCGCUAGUUGGUGGGGUAAAGGCCUACCAAGGCGACGAUCCGUAGCUGGUCUGAGAGGACAACCAGCGACACUGGGACUGAGACACGGCCCAGACUCCUACGGGAGGCAGCAAUGGGGAAUUUUGGACGAUGGGCGCAAGCCUGAUCCAGCAAUGCCGCGUGCGGGAAGAAGGCCUUCGGGUUGUAAACCGCUUUUGGCAGGAACGAAACGGUGUCCGCUAAUACCGGGCGCUAAUGACGGUACCUGCAGAAUAAGCACCGGCUAACUACGUG